This 2713-nucleotide long non-coding RNA is filed under the name Homo sapiens (human). Its description in RNAcentral is "HSALNT0338782". The record is from RNAcentral. Lineage: Eukaryota; Metazoa; Chordata; Mammalia; Primates; Hominidae.
CUUUGAUCUCGACCCUGACCAUGACCCCACCUCUAACCAUACUUCUGGCCCUGACUCUGACCCAGAUCCUAAUCCUAUCCCUAACCCUAUUAUUAUCUUUACAAUCUAUGUCUAAUCUUACCCUCUAGUGCUAAAUAGCUGUACCCAAAAGCACUUUUAAAUUAUUUAACUUCUUUUCCUUGAAUUCUCUAAGGACAUCCUAAAGGAGAUGUCAAUAUGUAUUUUGCAUUCCCUCUGAGUGGUAUGGCUUCAGAUAAGAAGUUCUAAUACUUUUCAAGACAUAAAAAGUUUGGAGGGUGACAGCACUGGGUUGUUAGGGAUGCAUGUUGGCAUUCGUGGUAGUCAUAGGUGCUGUUCUCCAGAUAUUUUCAGUUCAUAUUUUAUGAAUGCAUUCUGACUGUUCCAUCCCGCCUACUUACAUUUUCACAUGGCCACAUGACUUUUUUUUUGCCAAUGGAGGUGAGAAGAAAUAACAUGUGACUUUUUCAGGAGAAAUCUCCAAGAAACAGAGUUCUAUUCCGCAUACUUUUUUCUCUUUUCUAUAGCAAUGGGGAUCUUAUUGAUUGUCCCUCCUUCCGUCUGGAUCCCUGUGUUAGGAUGACACAGCACAGAGCUACCUCUCACCUGACCCAUGAUGAAAUGUAAAUAAAUGAGGAAGAAGAUUUUUGAGCCACUGAAAUUUGGAGGUUGUUUGUCACCACAGUUUAACCUAGCCCCCAUUUACUGAUGCACGGCUGAAGAAUGAGUCCGAACUGGAUCUGGACAAGACAUGUGAAGAGCGCUCCAGGCUGAGUAAAAUUCAAGUGUUGUCUCAAAGAUAACACUGAGCACGAUAUGUUAUUGGGGUGGGUGUGGGAUAAAUAAGGUAUAUCAGGUGAGAAUAACAAGAAACUCAACUUUAAAAGACGGUGCCGAUUUGGAAGACACCAAAUUGGAAGACAGCAGGAGCUGCCCCAUAAUACCAGUAAAGUGAGAAGCAGAGAUAAACUAGUCCUAGACAGCUGACUCAUGUUGGGGGCAGCCCACUCACAGUGGCCCUGACCCAACUCUGACUAGAGGCCACUUGCUCUCAACACCAGGGUGCUCAAUGGCCCGUCCUGGUACUCUGCUCUACACUGGUUGUAGGAAGGAAUCUACAGGUUGAAAUAAGGAGAUCAUUUCCCUGAGGUUCCGAAGCUCAUAUUUACUCACCAUUUGUUGUUUACUGCUAAUAUUGAGCACUGUCAGUAAAAUACAUAAAACCCUUUGCCAAUCCAGGAAGUGAAAAUGACACUUUACUGUUUUAGUUUGCAUUUCUCUGCUUACAAGUGGAUUACACACAUUUUCAUGUGCUGUUGGCUACUUAUUCAUUCAUAAAACAUACUAAGUGCUGGCUCUUUUUCAUGUCCUUUAUCAAGUUUGGAUCAUGUCAUUUGCUAUUUUCUUUCUGAUGUAAACUCUCAAAGUCUGAAGGGUAUUGUCUUUUCCUGACACAUAUGUUGUAAAUAAUUUUCUGGCUUACAUUUUGACUUUUAAUUUCAUUCACGAUGUUUUUAAUGAAUAAUUUUAAUUAUUAUGAAUGCAAGUUAAAAUAAUUCUUUCAUUGUGGUUUCUGACAUGUCAUGCCAAUAAGGGUCUUCUCCUCCAAGAGCACAGAAAUAUUUGCCAAUACUGUCCUUAAAAUCGGUCACAGUUUCAUUUUUUAUAUAUGCAUUUUACUUCAAUUGGGGCUUCAUUUUACUGAAUGCCCUAUUUGAAGCAAGUUUCUCAGUUAAUUCUUUUCUCAAAGGGCUAAGUAUGGUAGAUUGCAAACAUAAGUGGCCACAUAAUGCUCUCACCUCCUUUGCCUCCUCUCCCAGGAGGAGAUAGCAUCCAUCUUUCCACUCCUUAAUCUGGGCUUGGCCGUGUGACUUGCACUGGCCAAUGGGAUAUUAACAAGUCUGAUGUGCACAGAGGCUGUAGAAUGUGCACGGGGGCUUGGUCUCUCUUGCUGCCCUAGAGACCAGCUGCCCCACGAAGGAACCAGAGCCAACCUGCUGCUUCCUGGAGGAAGACAGUCCCUCUGUCCCUCUGUCUCUGCCAACCAGUUAACCUGCUGCUUCCUGGAGGAAGACAGUCCCUCUGUCCCUCUGUCUCUGCCAACCAGUUAACCUGCUGCUUCCUGGAGGAAGACAGUCACUCUGUCUCUGCCAACCCAGCUGACCGCAGACAUGCAGGUCUGCUCAGGAAAAGCUUUGGAUCACAAUUCCCAGUGCUGAAGAAAAGGCCAAACUCUGGAAAAAAUUUUGAAUAUUUUGAGCCAAAUGUGAGGACCACAACCUGUGAGAACGGAAAAUAAAUCCUGGGACCCCAGACUCACUAAGCCAAAGGGAAAAGCCAAGCUGGGAACUGGCUUAUGCAAACCUGCUUCCCAUCUGGUUCCUAAAUAAGAUAGCUAUUACACAAAGAUAAAAAAGCUACAUCCCUGCCUCUACCUCCAUCGCAUGUAAAAUGUGUAUUCAGUGAACACUGACCAAAGACAGAAGAAUGCAACCAUUUGCCUCUGAUUUACCCACACCCAUUUUUUCCACUUCUUCCCCUUUCCCCAAUACCCGCACUUUUCCCCUUUACUUACUGAGGCCCCCAGACAAUCUUUGGGAAAAGCACGGACCACAGUUUUUCCUGUGGUUCUCUGUUCUUUUCUCAGGUGUGUCCUUAACCUUGCAAAUAGAUUUCUUGAAAUGAUUGACACUCA